Molecule: ribosomal RNA, 1483 nt
Filed under: Salmonella enterica subsp. enterica serovar Braenderup
Lineage: Bacteria; Pseudomonadati; Pseudomonadota; Gammaproteobacteria; Enterobacterales; Enterobacteriaceae
Description: partial 23S ribosomal RNA
Rfam family: Bacterial large subunit ribosomal RNA
Source: RNAcentral
CGAGUCUUAACCGGGCGUUAAGUUGCAGGGUAUAGACCCGAAACCCGGUGAUCUAGCCAUGGGCAGGUUGAAGGUUGGGUAACACUAACUGGAGGACCGAACCGACUAAUGUUGAAAAAUUAGCGGAUGACCUGUGGCUGGGGGUGAAAGGCCAAUCAAACCGGGAGAUAGCUGGUUCUCCCCGAAAGCUAUUUAGGUAGCGCCUCGUGAAUUCAUCUCCGGGGGUAGAGCACUGUUUCGGCUAGGGGGCCAUCCCGGCUUACCAACCCGAUGCAAACUGCGAAUACCGGAGAAUGUUAUCACGGGAGACACACGGCGGGUGCUAACGUCCGUCGUGAAGAGGGAAACAACCCAGACCGCCAGCUAAGGUCCCAAAGUCAUGGUUAAGUGGGAAACGAUGUGGGAAGGCCCAGACAGCCAGGAUGUUGGCUUAGAAGCAGCCAUCAUUUAAAGAAAGCGUAAUAGCUCACUGGUCGAGUCGGCCUGCGCGGAAGAUGUAACGGGGCUAAACCAUGCACCGAAGCUGCGGCAGCGACGCUUAUGCGUUGUUGGGUAGGGGAGCGUUCUGUAAGCCUGCGAAGGUGGCCUGUGAGGGUUGCUGGAGGUAUCAGAAGUGCGAAUGCUGACAUAAGUAACGAUAAAGCGGGUGAAAAGCCCGCUCGCCGGAAGACCAAGGGUUCCUGUCCAACGUUAAUCGGGGCAGGGUGAGUCGACCCCUAAGGCGAGGCCGAAAGGCGUAGUCGAUGGGAAACGGGUUAAUAUUCCCGUACUUGGUGUUACUGCGAAGGGGGGACGGAGAAGGCUAUGUUGGCCGGGCGACGGUUGUCCCGGUUUAAGCGUGUAGGUGUGUGUUCCAGGUAAAUCCGGUUCACUUUAACACUGAGGCGUGACGACGAGGCACUACGGUGCUGAAGCAACAAAUGCCCUGCUUCCAGGAAAAGCCUCUAAGCAUCAGGUAACAUCAAAUCGUACCCCAAACCGACACAGGUGGUCAGGUAGAGAAUACCAAGGCGCUUGAGAGAACUCGGGUGAAGGAACUAGGCAAAAUGGUGCCGUAACUUCGGGAGAAGGCACGCUGACACGUAGGUGAAGUGAUUUACUCAUGGAGCUGAAGUCAGUCGAAGAUACCAGCUGGCUGCAACUGUUUAUUAAAAACACAGCACUGUGCAAACACGAAAGUGGACGUAUACGGUGUGACGCCUGCCCGGUGCCGGAAGGUUAAUUGAUGGGGUCAGCGCAAGCGAAGCUCCUGAUCGAAGCCCCGGUAAACGGCGGCCGUAACUAUAACGGUCCUAAGGUAGCGAAAUUCCUUGUCGGGUAAGUUCCGACCUGCACGAAUGGCGUAAUGAUGGCCAGGCUGUCUCCACCCGAGACUCAGUGAAAUUGAACUCGCUGUGAAGAUGCAGUGUACCCGCGGCAAGACGGAAAGACCCCGUGAACCUUUACUAUAGCUUGACACUGAACAUUGAGCCUUGAUGUGUAG